RNAcentral lists this ribosomal RNA (464 nucleotides) under uncultured bacterium. RNAcentral describes it as "partial 16S ribosomal RNA". It matches the Rfam family "Bacterial small subunit ribosomal RNA", at positions 339 to 795 of the family's 1533-position model. The record is from RNAcentral.
CUACGGGGCGCACCAGUGGGGAAUAUUGCACAAUGGGCGCAAGCCUGAUGCAGCCAUGCCGCGUGUAUGAAGAAGGCCUUCGGGUUGUAAAGUACUUUCAGCGGGGAGGAAGGGAGUAAAGUUAAUACCUUUGCUCAUUGACGUUACCCGCAGAAGAAGCACCGGCUAACUCCGUGCCAGCAGCCGCGGUAAUACGGAGGGUGCAAGCGUUAAUCGGAAUUACUGGGCGUAAAGCGCACGCAGGCGGUUUGUUAAGUCAGAUGUGAAAUCCCCGGGCUCAACCUGGGAACUGCAUCUGAUACUGGCAAGCUUGAGUCUCGUAGAGGGGGGUAGAAUUCCAGGUGUAGCGGUGGAAUGCGUAGAGAUCUGGAGGAAUACCGGUGGCGAAGGCGGCCCCCUGGACGAAGACUGACGCUCAGGUGCGAAAGCGUGGGGAACAAACAGGAUUAGAUACCCUCGUAGUC